Molecule: ribosomal RNA, 374 nt
Filed under: uncultured organism
Description: partial 16S ribosomal RNA
Rfam family: Bacterial small subunit ribosomal RNA
Source: RNAcentral
GUAGGUGGCAAGCGUUGUCCGGAAUUAUUGGGCGUAAAGCGCGCGCAGGCGGUCCUUUAAGUCUGAUGUGAAAGCCCACGGCUCAACCGUGGAGGGUCAUUGGAAACUGGGGGACUUGAGUACAGAAGAGGAAAGCGGAAUUCCAAGUGUAGCGGUGAAAUGCGUAGAGAUUUGGAGGAACACCAGUGGCGAAGGCGGCUUUUCUGGUCUGUAACUGACGCUGAGGCGCGAAAGCGUGGGGAGCAAACAGGAUUAGAUACCCUGGUAGUCCACGCCGUAAACGAUGAGUGCUAAGUGUUAGGGGGUUUCCCGCCCCCCUUAGUGCUGCAGCUAACGCAUUAAGCACUCCGCCUGGGGAGUACGCCGCAAGGCUG